UGACAAUUAACUUUUUUCAUGCUGGGAAACCAUAGCGUAAAGUAAAUGGAUCACGUGAAGCCAAUGGAGGAAAUGCUUUAAGCCUUCGGAAGUGAAGAAGUAGGCCAUUGAUGAUCUGAAUAAAACAAUUCAGUGGCUGGAAUGUCAAGAAGAAAAGUCAGAUCCAGUGAGAUGACAAAAAUAGCUGCAGAGGGGAUUCUAACUUGUUUGCAAGAUGCAAUAUGUUCUCUUGAGGAAAAACGGGUAAUGUGCACAAAAAAUUGUCUAUCACUUUUCUUAGUUUGAAAGCAACUUCUCCGAUAUUUUCUUUCCCUGGGGGAUGCUGGCAUAGGUAAAAUUUUCCCCUUCAUAUAGGUUUUAAUUUCCUAUGCAGUCCUUUGUUUAAAUUCUCUAUCAGAACAAGCACUAGCAGUGUAUCAUAUUGAUAGAUAAAGAACAGACUUUUGUUAUUAUUUAAAUUUCAACUGAAUUUCCUUUAUGAACACGUAAG
Molecule: non-coding RNA, 490 nt
Organism: Cajanus cajan (pigeon pea)
Lineage: Eukaryota; Viridiplantae; Streptophyta; Magnoliopsida; Fabales; Fabaceae
Source: RefSeq, a predicted model, not a curated record